AGCUUGCUCCUGGAUUCAGCGGCGGACGGGUGAGUAAUGCCUAGGAAUCUGCCUGGUAGUGGGGGACAACGUUUCGAAAGGAACGCUAAUACCGCAUACGUCCUACGGGAGAAAGCAGGGGACCUUCGGGCCUUGCGCUAUCAGAUGAGCCUAGGUCGGAUUAGCUUGUUGGUGAGGUAAUGGCUCACCAAGGCGACGAUCCGUAACUGGUCUGAGAGGAUGAUCAGUCACACUGGAACUGAGACACGGUCCAGACUCCUACGGGAGGCAGCAGUGGGGAAUAUUGGACAAUGGGCGAAAGCCUGAUCCAGCCAUGCCGCGUGUGUGAAGAAGGUCUUCGGAUUGUAAAGCACUUUAAGUUGGGAGGAAGGGUUGUAGAUUAAUACUCUGCAAUUUUGACGUUACCGACAGAAUAAGCACCGGCUAACUCUGUGCCAGCAGCCGCGGUAAUACAGAGGGUGCAAGCGUUAAUCGGAAUUACUGGGCGUAAAGCGCGCGUAGGUGGUUUGUUAAGUUGGAUGUG
Molecule: ribosomal RNA, 523 nt
Filed under: Pseudomonas parafulva
Lineage: Bacteria; Pseudomonadati; Pseudomonadota; Gammaproteobacteria; Pseudomonadales; Pseudomonadaceae
Description: bacterial SSU rRNA
Rfam family: Bacterial small subunit ribosomal RNA
Source: RNAcentral